CCCACACACACACAUACACAGACACACACACACACACUCGCUCACACUCAAACACACAGAGAAUAGGGCGGUUGAGAGGACCGAAAACACUGUGAAGUGGAGGCAGCGGUGCUCCUGUGGACAGUGUGUUGGUCUUCAGUACCAGGCAAAGCCUCCAGAGACCAGGCCGGACGGACUCUUCUGCAGGUAUGACAGAGGUUGCCUGCUAAGCUGCUCACGUCACCCUGGAUCUGCUGAUGGCUUCAGCUCCCUAAGCCAAGCCUGACGCCUUGCCUGAUGUGGACGCUUUUUAAUGAUGUUACUGAACCAGACUUCAUUUUCUUGGCUGUGGCAGCAAGAAGCCUCAUCACUUGCACCUAAUCUUCAGAUUUUUGUGCUCUCGUUUUCUUCCCUUCUCACCUUCUUUCUCUUCUUCACCCGGAGAUUGAGUUCAGCCUGUAUUGUUGGGUAACUGAGUGAAACAGACCAACAGGAGGCAUAGGAAGACCAUGGAAAUUAGACCGGCUUUUAGAGGCAGGCUGCCCCUCUGAAUCAGCCAGCAGUACUAAGUCAUGGCGACAGGACUUGUGGUAUAAUCUUGCAGAUGUUUUGCCAUUCAUUCAGGGGGCUUCAUCAGAAACAUCUUUAGGAUUAUACCCAUCUCUUCUUUUACUUACUGCUACAAAGUCCAGCGACCUGCACGACCAAAAACCUUCAUGGACCGAUUGACAGUGUAGUAGAAAAAACAAAACAGCAAAGAAGACAUAAUUCAUAUAUGAAAGUACUUUUAGAUAUGGCCAUGCUUCCAUUGAACUAUUAUUAUUUUGCAUGGUAGUAGUAAGCAUUAUAAUAACAGUGAGAUUUAAUUCCUACCAUAAAUUUAUGGCAUUAUUAAUAUUUUAUAACUAAUUUUAAUUAUUGUUAUCAUUGUCACAGAUUACAUUGCUAGUGUGUUUUUUGAAAGAUAAUGUAUAUUUUGUACAGUGAAUUGACUACAUCAAUUUAAAUGUUCUAUUUGGCGAUCUUGAGAGCAGAUUUGCUGUAAAGGUAGGAAUUUUUCUUGUGAGAGCAUUGGCAGCAGUCCUCAUAAGAGCAGUCUUCUUGUUUCUGUGAACGCCCCUUAUGUGAUAUUUGUGUUCAGAGUCACAUUCCCGAUUUCAUAUGCACGGUAUGAAUAACAUUUGCAAACAGCUUUCUUCUGCGGUCUUAAAAAUGGCUCCCGUAUGGAAGCCAUAUCGAGUCUGUUAAGCGAUGCGUCUCUGUCAUGAACCUUGCGUCAUGUUACCCAGUUGAAGUACCCAGGCACAGAUGGGGGGAGGGGGUCAUACUACACACAGAGUAUUGACUCACUCCCAUUUAGAUUCCUUGCUAAAGUACUGUGACUAACAGUAAGCUGAGAUGUGCCGGGGGCUGAGUGUUGCGGAACAAAGAGGGGGCUGUAUAGGCGAAGUGUGAGGAAGACAUGGUUAAUUAUGUCAGCUGUUGGGGAGGCCGGUGCCGGGCUUUAAUUUAUGGUGGCAGGGCAAGAAGGGAAGUGUGUUUGGGAGGACAGGGCCCCGUGAGGCCACUGAAGAGGGCUGAGAGGAAUGGAGUCAGGAGGAGGCUCGGGAGGUGUCAAGGACCUUUGAAAUGAUAGAGUGGGAUUAUCGAUAAAAUCAGGUGCCUCCCUCCCAGACUCAAAACCAGGAGCCCUGCUCCUCUGAAAAUAAUCUCAGACUCUGAGUACAUACAAAACAGAGGAAAAAUAUAAUUUUAACAUCUGAAAUGGGUCUUUCAGUGUGGAAAUACAAAUAUUCAAAA
This is a long non-coding RNA of Electrophorus electricus (electric eel), 1779 nucleotides long. RefSeq lists it as uncharacterized. The record is from RefSeq and is a predicted model, not a curated record. NCBI's taxonomy places the organism in Eukaryota, Metazoa, Chordata, Actinopteri, Gymnotiformes, Gymnotidae.